This is a long non-coding RNA of Panicum virgatum (switchgrass), 860 nucleotides long. RefSeq lists it as uncharacterized. The record is from RefSeq and is a predicted model, not a curated record. Lineage: Eukaryota; Viridiplantae; Streptophyta; Magnoliopsida; Poales; Poaceae. The transcript is spliced from 2 exons.
UUCUAGGAGCCUGAAAUUUAUGGAAUCACCACAAUCGAUGUGUGUUUGAUGGUGCUUCUCCUAGUAUCUCGAACACCAUCUCGACCACCUUUAAAGAUCUGCAGCAACGGUCCUUGGCCGGGGCUAGAGGAAUUUCCUUUCUCCUCGCCCUGGCGCCCAGAGACAGUUAGAUUUUGGUCCAUCCUGGUCUAGUAUUUUCUCUUCGAAAGACAAGUCAGUGUAGAUGUUUUUAGGGGGUUACAACCCCUUCUCAUCUGUAACAUUUUGGGGGGAUAAACCCCCCCAUUUUUUUCUUAAUAUAAUGAUGCACAGUUCUCCUUCACGUUCGAGGGAAAAAAAGUUGAGUUAUCUGGAGCUACAUAACCAAUGGACGCGUGUUUAAGAAAAAAUAACAUAACCAAUUGAGGCGCUUUUAUUCCAGUCAUGCUAUCUGGAAUUUGCAGAGCAUUGGUUGUAUUUUGACUCAUAUAUGUUGCUGAAUUCUCUACAAAAAUUUGUCAUACAGACAGGUAAACCUCUGGAUCUAAUCCAUUUUGACACAUUUUUUAAGUUUCUUUUAUACUUCCAUAUAUCUGAUGAAAAUAAAUGCAGGGAAGAAUUAUAAAGCUGAAAAGUCAUGUACAUCUUCAGUUAUUUCAGACAAAGGACAGUGAACAAACAACCAAGAGAAGUGGCAGGGAGUAGUUCAGAGGCAGCAAAUUAGCAACAAACAAUAUCUUACCAGAGAACAAUUCAGGAUUAGCAUUGUGGAAAUGGCCGAACAGAACUCUUUAUGUACUAGAUAUGCGUUCCUGCAAAGCCAGGCACUGUAUGAUCUAUGAAUUUAACAAAAGAAAACGGAGGUGCAAGUUCCUGGGCCA